AUACGGAGGGUGCAAGCGUUAAUCGGAAUUACUGGGCGUAAAGCGCGCGUAGGCGGCUCGAUAAGUCGGAUGUGAAAGCCCCGGGCUCAGCCUGGGAACUGCAUUCGAAACUGCCGAGCUAGAGUUUGAUAGCGGAGAGUGGAAUUCCACAUGUAGCGGUGAAAUGCGUAGAUAUGUGGAGGAACACCAGUGGCGAAGGCGGCUCUCUGGAUCAAAACUGACGCUGAGGUGCGAAAGCGUGGGUAGCAAACAGGAUUAGAAACCCCGGUAGUCC
This 274-nucleotide ribosomal RNA is filed under the name uncultured bacterium. RNAcentral describes it as "partial 16S ribosomal RNA". It matches the Rfam family "Bacterial small subunit ribosomal RNA", at positions 523 to 796 of the family's 1533-position model. The record is from RNAcentral.